GACGAACGCUGGCGGCGUGCUUAACACAUGCAAGUCGAACGGAAAGGCCCUGCUUUUGUGGGGUGCUCGAGUGGCGAACGGGUGAGUAACACGUGAGUAACCUGCCCUUGACUUUGGGAUAACUUCAGGAAACUGGGGCUAAUACCGGAUAGGAGCUCCUGCUGCAUGGUGGGGGUUGGAAAGUUUCGGCGGUUGGGGAUGGACUCGCGGCUUAUCAGCUUGUUGGUGGGGUAGUGGCUUACCAAGGCUUUGACGGGUAGCCGGCCUGAGAGGGUGACCGGCCACAUGGGGACGGAGAUACGGCCCAGACUCCUACGGGAGGCAGCAGUGGGAAUAUUGCACAAUGGGCGGAAGCCUGAUGCAGCAACGCCGCGUGCGGGAUGACGGCCUUCGGGUUGUAAACCGCUUUCGCCUGUGACGAAGCGUGAGUGACGGUAAUGGGUAAAGAAGCACCGGCUAACUACGUG
This 467-nucleotide ribosomal RNA is filed under the name uncultured bacterium. Its description in RNAcentral is "partial 16S ribosomal RNA". It matches the Rfam family "Bacterial small subunit ribosomal RNA", at positions 28 to 507 of the family's 1533-position model. The record is from RNAcentral.